UGUGAGAGGGGGCUUGCUCCCGAUGACCGUGUGUCAGGCAUGCAUAAGUUGCCUGAUACGCCGCUAUCGGGAGCAAGCCCCCUCCCACA
Molecule: unclassified non-coding RNA, 89 nt
Filed under: Pseudomonas trivialis
Lineage: Bacteria; Pseudomonadati; Pseudomonadota; Gammaproteobacteria; Pseudomonadales; Pseudomonadaceae
Source: RNAcentral